GAUUAAGGGGGCUGUUCCUCUGUAUGUGAGGUAUUCCCUCUUAUUUGUUUGUCUUGCUUUUGGGUGUCCUGUACCACGGAUAUCAUAUAAAUUCAAUCAUGUAUCGCUCCAGAGUAUUUUUGGUUCAUUUAUCGUCUAAACUGGUUCUUUUCUGAAAUCAUGCAGGGGUGAAUACUCGUAUUUUUAAGUUCUGAAAUGUUGGACGAUCCAUGCACUCUCAUGAUGAUAAUUUUGCUACAAAAUCUCAGUUCUACGUUGAGCUGAAAUUUAUUGGGGUUUUGCAGGGACUUUUGAUCCACAGUGAGGUGUCAAUCAAUGGUGUCACUGUGUGGGGGCUCAUUGGAAAACAACUCUCACAUUGAAUCUCUGCAAUGAUCCUUAAAUUAAAGGGUGGUUUGAAAACAGCUUCUGCAUCAAACCUCUAAAGUGAUCCUCAAAUUAAAGUUUACUCUCAUGACGGCAAUGUUUCUGGAAAGUCUGAGUUUUAUGUUUGGUUGGACAAAUGUAUUGGGGAUUUGAAGGGCCUUUUGUUCAACAGCAAGGUGUUGGUAGUUGGUGUGCAUUGUAUGGGAGGUGAUGGGAAGACUACGGAGAACCCCACAAGGUUAGGAAGAGAGCAAAAACCAAGAUUUCUAGAGUAAAAUAAAUAAUGAGUAAUAACAGAAAAGGGUUAUUUAGAUUGCUGCAGACCAAUAUUGAGUACUUAGCUAUGUUACCAAAAAUGUGGCGGGAAGAGCCCGUUUCAUGUUUUAACUGCCUUUAUGUUUCCUCUGCAUUUUUUUCAGAAAAUAAACAGGUAGGUAAAUUUUUAGUUCAAUGUUUUUGGGUGAGAUGGUUUUUUUUGUCAUUUUCUAAUUAAUUUGGGAAAGUUUUAGGGCAUGAUGCUUUUGCCAUCUUAUCAGAACAUGCAAACAGAAACCUGCUAAAUUUAACUAGCAAUUCAAGGUAAUUGCCUUUCCUUUUAUAUAUUGAGUCUAUUGAACAUGUUUUUCAACACUGAACUGACAUGCUUGCUCUGAACAGGGGAAGUACAACAAUCCCAAAUGGAAAUGCUUUGGAGUUACACUUCUCUCAGCUUGAUGCAAUGCAAGAUUUGGUCUAAUAUUUGGCACACAAGGACAAUGCAGUCUAUAGCAAGAGUUUGGUCAUAACAUGGAGGGAGUGAAUUUUGUUACGUGAAGGGGAGUCACUUAAUAAUAGCGCAUUUGGUACCCAAAUUCUCUCCAUUAUCACCGAUGAGUUAUCCAAAAUCUCUUAGUUAUGCAUUUUGGCCCAAAACCUUUUUUUUUAUUUUUAUUGUUCACUUUUAAUUUCAAGUUGUAGAACAAAAUUGAAUUUCAAACAUGAUUUUCUGCAUAUUAUAAGGUUUACAGCACUGCUCUAGGAAAACUCAACAGCCUAUUAUAAGGCUUGGAUAUCCUAUUCCCCUGUUCCGUGGGUACACUCAACAGCCUAUGUAAACUGCUCGAAAGAUCUAGACUUUUUGGAUGCUCUAAAUGUCCUACUCUAAUAAGUAACAAUAUGCGAAUCUACUGUUUUCAAUUCUCAACUUUUGAUUGUGUAAC
This is a long non-coding RNA of Cryptomeria japonica (Japanese cedar), 1565 nucleotides long. RefSeq lists it as uncharacterized. The transcript is spliced from 3 exons. The record is from RefSeq and is a predicted model, not a curated record. NCBI's taxonomy places the organism in Eukaryota, Viridiplantae, Streptophyta, Pinopsida, Cupressales, Cupressaceae.